This 314-nucleotide ribosomal RNA is filed under the name uncultured eukaryote. RNAcentral's name for it is "partial 18S ribosomal RNA". It matches the Rfam family "Eukaryotic small subunit ribosomal RNA", at positions 1470 to 1796 of the family's 1831-position model. The record is from RNAcentral.
CCCCUAGAUGUUCUGGGCCGCACGCGCGCUACACUGAACAGUUCAACAAGUCUUAACCUUGGCCGAUAGGUCUGGGUAAUCUUUGAACGCUGUUCGUGACUGGGAUAGACCUUUGCAAUUAUGGGUCUUCAACGAGGAAUUCCUAGUAAACGCAAGUCAUCAACUUGCAUUGAUUACGUCCCUGCCCUUUGUACACACCGCCCGUCGCACCUACCGAUUGAAUGGUCCGGUGAAGCCUCCGGAUUGGCGCGCACCUCGGUGCCGCCGAGAAGUUGGCUAAACCUUACCAUUUAGAGGAAGGUGAAGUCGUAACA